GACUGGCUAAGGAAGGCAGGUGGCUUGUUGUUAAGCCCAGCAGCUGCAGAGGAUUAGUAGCUGCAUGAUGCACAUGCUCAUGGAUUCUUUGCCUGCCUGUGCUGGCUUCAUUUAAAGCCCUGCUCCUGUCUAGACCCUGACCAAACACAAUCUUGUUCUAGACCUGUCCCAGACUUGCUCCUGCCUCCUUGAUUUCAGGUAACCUGGUUCUGAGUGUGUCUUGACCCUUGGUUCUGGCAUUCUAACUCUGACUACAAUUCUGACCCUCAGCCCUGGUUCCUGUUUUGGAAUCUGCUUUGGCAUUUAGACUCUGACCACUAGGCCUGACUGCCUACGACCCAGUCUCCUAACAUAUGAAGAAUAUAAAUCAUAUUAGAAAAGUGAGAUACAACUCCUGUUGAAACUGCAGGAAUAAUUCUCCCUCAUUCCUCUAGCUGAUGCAUCCGCAUCACUUCUGGCUUGUCUGGGUCCAGCCUUGGACAAUUUGCUUUCUGAUCCAACCCUCAGUAAGGAAUCCAGCAAUCAUAGGAAUAGCAGUAUCCUGGUUUGAGAAAAGAAGAGUUGAGUGAGUUGGAUAGAGCUGAGUGUCACCCCCAUGCUGCUGAUGCAGCAUCCCAUAAUGCUUAACAAAUCUUCCAUGGUAGCUUCUCAUACAUACUGGAUGUGGGAGGUGACAAGACCUCCCCACCCGCACCUCCACCACCCUGCUUCUGAAUGCUCUUAGGGAGGAAGAGAAAUUAUUCAGAGCCACCAUCUGGAAUCUAAGGCUCCCCAACUACUCUACAAGGCACCACAAAGAAGUCUACAAGGCAUUUAAAGACAGAGGAGAUGGAUGUCCUAAAAAUAUCUUAGACAGAGACCAAAACUUUGUGGUCAAUUGUAUCAAAGGCUGCCAAGAGGUAUAAUAAAAUCAGCAGAGAACACCUUUUCAACAUCUAUCAGGAGCAGAUCAUCACAAGAUGAUAUCAGAACUAUCUCUAGGCCAUAAACAGAUCAAAAACCUGACGGAAAAGGAUCAAGAAAAUGUAUAGAUUCCAGAUGUGACUGGAUCUGCUUCAUCAUCACCUUCUUGGCACUUCCCCUAAAAAGGGGCAGAUUUGAGGAAAGAAUGCAUUGCUGAGCGGCUUCAGGCUGUCUGUGAAUCUGGUGGCCAGAUGGGUGCUUCAUGUCCUCCGGUGUCUUCUUUGGAGCUAAUAUCUUGGCCUUGGAAAUACUCCAGACCACCUCUCUGCUUCUAUCAACUCUAUAGUUGAUGCUUUCCUCCCACCCGCCUUUGAGUACUACCCUUACACUGCUGUGAUUACGUGGACCUGGCAAAUGCCACAAUGAUCUAAGAAUGUGACACAUCAGGAUUCCGUGCUGAGGUAACUUUUUCCAGUUGUCCCUUCUCAUAUAUUCUGUCUCAAUACUUUUUCAGCCAUUGUCUACUCUUUGAAUAUUUUUGCCUCUCACACUCAGAUGCAAAACCAUGUUAUAGGGCAGAUGCCCCAAGGAGUAUACCAUGUGGCUUUGUUUUGAAUAUGGUUUGGUCCACACAAAAAAACCCAGAACCCUGCUACCCUUGUAAUUUGAGUCUGUUAUUUCUGAUAAAGGGCAGUCAUGGAUGUUUACCUAUAUGGACGCUAUUUGAACAGUUACCUUUUUCUGCUGGUACUAUGCAACUAUUCAUUAGAAAAGAGAUUCGUAGAGGAUGUGAACGAAGUGCAUAGAAUUCUGAGAGAAGAAGGUGGAUGGUACAAAACUAUUCAGUAGGUGAACGGGCUCCACAUCAAGAGAGCACAAACAAACUGGAGCUGUGAAAGAACUGGUCUCUGAGGGUAUUCAGAAGAAAUUCCUUUACAAAGAAGGUAAUUCACAUCUAGAACCAAUUGCCAAGGUUGGUAAAAGAAGUGAUAAUGAAAUACAUUUCUAAAUAAUGGGACAAGGAAUUACAAGAAAAAACAUUACAUAAUACAAAGUACAAACCAUUACUAAUAUGUGGAUUGACCUUGAUGGUCAUCUUUGAUGCUGAAGGUCUUAAUCCUGUGAGUCCUUGGACAGUGUUCAUUUGGAUGUGCAAGACUGAUGCAAAUAAGUGCCAGCUAUGCAUAGGUCAAGUAAAGUUAUGUGCCAAGUGGAAACCUCUGCACUGAGGAAGUAGUUGGUCUCAACCCACCUCUGCAUUUACUCUUUGACUUUUAAUUUGGAAUAUGAAAAGGGGCAGGAUGUGAACAGAGAAUGAGCACGUCUGAGAAAACAUGGUUUUAAGUGUGGUCUUUGUCAUGCUAAAGGGGUACCUAGGCGUUAUUCCUGCUAAUAGGCCAGAACAAACUGGCAGUCAUACAGCAAUGUUCUGGUCAGCUUUCUCUGCCUUCUCUGUCCUGCAAAAAUCACUUGUGGCCAUGCUCUUGUAGACACAACACUCUGCAUCUGCACUGUAUAGAUUUGAAGCCUAGAAUGUUCCUACAUUGUGGUGACUGAGCUGGUCUCUACAGCCUUAAAGUGGAGCUCCUUGUGUCCAUUCAACCAUCCUGACUCCUUUAGAAGGAGAAAAUUCCUUUUUACCUUGUAUCUCAAUUUAUCAUUUUCUGUGAUGUCAACAAGACAGUAGAUAAGACCAGCUGACAUAAUUUAACUCUUUGACAAAGUCCCUCAUAAGAGGCUAUUUAAGAAAACUAAGUAGCCAUAGGGUGAGAGGAGGUGAAGUUCUGUGCUGGAUUAGAAACUGGCUAAGGGAAAGAAACCAAACAGUAGGAAUAAAUGGCCAUUAACACCCUGGCAGAAUUUUAACCAAGGGGUGCUCCAGGGAACUGUAGUAGGGCCCCAGUUUGGAAAAACUCUGAGAAAGGCAGAAGGAAACAUGGAGCAGCAGUGAAAUCUACCAGUUUUUUCAGGGGAGUUUUCCAAAUGAUUCUCAGUCUACCAUAUGGUAUUAAAUGAAGCUGCUUACUUGCAUGUGUAAGCCAGAAAAGCCAUAAAUGAGCCAUACACUUAUAGGGAUACCACGGUGGCAUGAGGUGUUUUGGUAAUGGAGUUCCAGAGACUAGUACCCCCCAAAAUCAGGCUGUAUGAUCGUAUAUGACCAGGGGAAAAUAUGACAUAAGGAUGAGGAGAAAGCCAAGUCCUGGGAGGUAGAGCCAGGAUGACAUGAGAUAUAUCUGGCCCCAUCAUUUUAUUUGCAGUCAGAAGAGACACAAAUAUCCAGUGGUUGUAAAGACAAGAGGAAAGGCUGGGUUAAAGUAGAGUACUGCAGAGGGCAUCUUGGAGAUGCUUUGAGAGGGACUGUGCAUACUGCUGCCAGCAACCACUUGGAGAUACAUGGAAGACAGAGGUUUGGAUGCAACAUUCCAAAGUUAUUGCAUUACAAACAGAGAAAUGCCAUCAAGUUGAGAGUCAGACCUCACUUCACUUGGCCACUGUGCCAAAAAUCCUGGUUGUUGAUACUUCUGGAAAAGAAUCUUGCUUCAUGUGAAGCUUUCAGACUAACAGACUACUGUUAAAGUCAAUGUGGAUUAUUUCGGAAGGGCGUUGACUAAGGAUUUCAUUAUUUGGGAAUAAGAAGGCAGUUUUAAUGUCAAUUUGGGAAAGAUAUUAAAUUUUAAUAGUUGAGGAUUGCUAUUUAAUUAAAUGAAAUAAUCUUAGCUACUUGAAUAAAAUCUAGUGGCAAGGAAACAAUUUUUUUAGACAGCGUAAAAGUUAUAAACUAGACUUGUUUUAAACAGUUCUUGCGCACAAACUCUGUUAAUACUGUGGAAACAAAUAUGGAUAAAUCCUUUCUUUUGUCUAAUACAAUAAAGGUACUUGC
Long non-coding RNA from Dermochelys coriacea (leatherback sea turtle), 3784 nucleotides. RefSeq lists it as uncharacterized. The record is from RefSeq and is a predicted model, not a curated record. Lineage: Eukaryota; Metazoa; Chordata; Testudines; Dermochelyidae. The transcript is spliced from 3 exons.